This 337-nucleotide long non-coding RNA is filed under the name Struthio camelus australis. Its description in RNAcentral is "lncRNA (ENSSCUG00000006549.1)". Lineage: Eukaryota; Metazoa; Chordata; Aves; Struthioniformes; Struthionidae. The record is from RNAcentral.
AUGGCCAGUAUCAUCACACGAAACAUAAUAUUGCAACACUGUCAUUGGGAAUUGUCUGCAACACAGCUUCGUUUAAGAAAACAAGAAGCUGACAGAUGCUUCCUCACCGUUGGCAUAUGGGAACUAACACAUUCAACCUGAAAAUGAACCUGAGUAGUUACAGCUGAACUGUGCUGCUGCAUGUGUUGGAAACCUCUCCUUCACCUAAGUAAUCCUGAUGCUUCUUGCUCCAUCUAGUUAGCUCCAAAGCUUUGAAAUUAAUACUGGCAAGUCAAAGUCAGUGCAGAACCGCUGUGCUCAUUGCUGGCUGAAUAAACAGCAGAGAAGAAAAGGGCCA